AGCUUUUCAGCUGCUACUCAAGUUCAUUUUGCCAAUAGUGUAGACUCCAGCAAUAGCAGUACUAUUCACGCCGACCCCCCAAAUGUGGCUAAUCUCGAGGAAAAGAACUCUAGUAGUAUCCCCCUCGGUCUGCAUGGUCAUUUUGCAAAUGGAGAGGCAAGUUUUGGACCUGCAUCUGGUUUGAUUUCUUACUCAGGUCACAUAGCACAUUCGGGUAACAUCUCUCUUCGUUCAGAUAGCAGCACAACCAGUGCCAGAUCCUUCGCCUUCCCAGUAUUACAAUCUGAAUGGAACAGUAGUCCAGUAAGAAUGGCGAAGGCAGAACGGAGACAUUAUAAGGGUUG
Molecule: unclassified non-coding RNA, 344 nt
Filed under: Hevea brasiliensis (rubber tree)
Lineage: Eukaryota; Viridiplantae; Streptophyta; Magnoliopsida; Malpighiales; Euphorbiaceae
Source: RNAcentral